UCCCUACACAAGACGUAAGAGAAAUGGGC
Molecule: small RNA, 29 nt
Filed under: Bombyx mori (domestic silkworm)
Lineage: Eukaryota; Metazoa; Arthropoda; Insecta; Lepidoptera; Bombycidae
Description: piRNA piR-bmo-1452638
Source: RNAcentral